AUACGGAGGAUGCGAGCGUUAUCCGGAUUUAUUGGGUUUAAAGGGUGCGUAGGCGGAAUGGUAAGUCAGUGGUGAAAUCCUGCAGCUCAACUGUAGAGUUGCCAUUGAUACUGUCAUUCUUGAGUAUAGAUGAGGUAGGCGGAAUGAGUAGUGUAGCGGUGAAAUGCAUAGAUAUUACUCAGAACACCAAUUGCGAAGGCAGCUUACUAAACUAACACUGACGCUGAAGCACGAAAGCGUGGGUAUCAAACAGGAUUAGAUACCCUGGUAGUCCACGCCGUAAACGAUGAUUACUGGUUGUUUGCAAUACACCGCAAGCGACUGAGCGAAAGCAUUAAGUAAUCCACCUGGGGAGUACGUCGGCAACGAUGAA
This 373-nucleotide ribosomal RNA is filed under the name uncultured bacterium. RNAcentral's name for it is "bacterial SSU rRNA". It matches the Rfam family "Bacterial small subunit ribosomal RNA", at positions 523 to 898 of the family's 1533-position model. The record is from RNAcentral.